GGGGUGUUGCGGUUUGCGAUGUUCCUUUUUUACGGCACUAUUGCACCAGCUAAGAUUGAUACUUGAGAGCACAGAAGAGCCCUAAAGAAAGAUCAAUCUACGUUUAAGGCCCUCGAAGAGAUUAUUUGAAUUAUGGUUGCCUUUGCCAACUCCAGUAGAAAAACCAGGUGCCAUACACUUGCUUACUUUGCGAUAUAAGAAGAAAAUAUUAUUGAGGAUUUUAAAGCAUAAAGGAAAUGUUAUGGAGUUUUGGUAAUUUUGUAUCACUUUUACCGUCAGAGGUGUGUUUCUUAUGUAUGUCAAGGUUACGUUUUAGUGUUGUGAGUUGAGUGUUAUUUGAGUAUCAUAAUAAAGUAUGUGAUUGAAUUUAGUGUCACGAGUCCAGUAACACCAAUUUAAUCGAAC
RNAcentral lists this long non-coding RNA (405 nucleotides) under Gossypium raimondii (Peruvian cotton). RNAcentral's name for it is "long non-coding RNA (GRAI_LNC000691)". Lineage: Eukaryota; Viridiplantae; Streptophyta; Magnoliopsida; Malvales; Malvaceae. The record is from RNAcentral.